CAAUAGCGUAUAUUAAAGUUGUUGCAGUUAAAAAGCUCGUAGUUGGAUUUCUGGUGGGAGCGAUCGGUCUGGCGCUUAGCGCGAGUACUUGCAUCGUCUCCGGCCACCCUUGGGGAGAGUCUGUCUGGCAUUAAGCUGUCGGGCAGAGGAUCCUCAUCGUUUACUGUGAAAAAAUUAGAGUGUUCAAAGCAGGCUUAUGCCGUUGAAUAUAUUAGCAUGGAAUAAUAAGAUAGGACUUUGGUACUAUUUUGUUGGUUUGCGCACCAAAGUAAUGAUUAAUAGGGACAGUUGGGGGUAUUCGUAUUCCGUUGUCAGAGGUGAAAUUCUUGGAUUUACGGAAGACGAACUACUGCGAAAGCAUUUACCAAGGAUGUUUUCAUUAA
RNAcentral lists this ribosomal RNA (383 nucleotides) under uncultured eukaryote. Its description in RNAcentral is "partial 18S ribosomal RNA". It matches the Rfam family "Eukaryotic small subunit ribosomal RNA", at positions 592 to 976 of the family's 1831-position model. The record is from RNAcentral.